Molecule: long non-coding RNA, 1318 nt
Organism: Cucurbita pepo subsp. pepo (vegetable marrow)
Lineage: Eukaryota; Viridiplantae; Streptophyta; Magnoliopsida; Cucurbitales; Cucurbitaceae
Source: RefSeq, a predicted model, not a curated record
CAGCAUUUGACAAGGUGCCUCCAACAGUAAGAUGCAGGUAAUCAGUCCAAGAUUUUGGUGCCAGCCCCAGUUUAAGAGUUUCAUGCAGGAUAUUUAUCCACAGCUCUCCAGCUGAAACAUCCACAUAAGGCUUGAGCUUGACCUUGGAUGGAAUGUCCAUGGCCUCUAGCUGCAACGGUCAACUCCGACACGUAUCCCAUUCUGAAAAUAUGGUUUAUCGUGCGCGAUAUAUCGGAGACGGAGCUUGGAUGUAACACAGCUAACGUGUUUGCAGGGCAUACGUUGAUAUAUCAGAGGAACCAAAAUGAGGUGGAAUGAUUGAGGCUGCAUAUAGGUGGUUCCUGCUGUCAGAGUGAAUGGCGGGCUGGCCCCUACUAAGUUUCAUGCUUCUUCAAGCUGAGUGUCUGGGGAGUCAGAUUACUGGGACCCACUCCAGUUUUUCUUCAUAAGAGUAUACAUUAUGUUUUGACAGCCCUCACCAACGUGUUAUACAUUUAUUCUGCAUAAUUUCCAUGAAGUUUUUACAUAUUCAUCAUGAUCUUUGCAUAUAUGAUCAUCAAUUUUUGUCUAAAAUUUACAUUGACAUGUGAAUUCUGGUCAAGACGUCUUACGAACUCCGAUUCCGAUUUUUUGUAACGUUGUAUAAUCAAGAUUCGUACCGAUGCACAUGAACUAGCUCAAUCCGUCACAGUUCUUAAGAAAAGUAAACAGAAUAAGCAUGAUGAUGAAUAUGUUGAAUGCUGACAAACAAACAUUUUCGAAAGCUUCAUACGUUGAUUUUUACUACUGUUCCUAAGUCUCUCGAUUCAAUGUCAUUUCAAAUAGUGAUUCGAUUAGAGUGAAGUUGUUUAAGUUAGAGGUGCAUUUAAUGAUUUAGAUUAUAAUUUUCAAAAGUGCCCUUCAAGGCAGGACCACCAAGUGAAAUUGCGUUCAAAUUCAACUGCAUCUAGACUUUGAUUUUAUGUUUUCUUUGACUCAAUGAGUGACAGAAGUUUGUUUUUGGGUGCAGAAGAACAAGUGUUUGAAAGAGAAAGAUGAAAGGUAUGUCUACAUAUACACUUGAGUUCAUAGCAUCAGCAUCAGCAAGAACAAGGCUUUUGGUCAGUCCAAUAUACAAAAAGAAAGCUAAAUUUAUUUCCAUGUGAUAAUUCAUUAUCUUUUUUUUGUGGAUUUAAAAGGUAUAUGGCUUCAUUGUCAAACUUGUAAUGGAGGUUAUGAGAGAGAGAGGGAUUGUUUAGGGGUGGGGCCAUGGACAUGUGAUCUUCAUAAGGGCGUGUAGUGGCCCAAGAAAAGGAAGAUAAAGAAAGAUUUGAAAAGA